Molecule: long non-coding RNA, 972 nt
Organism: Malus domestica (apple)
Lineage: Eukaryota; Viridiplantae; Streptophyta; Magnoliopsida; Rosales; Rosaceae
Source: RefSeq, a predicted model, not a curated record
GCCCCCAUUUCAUCUCUCUACUCUCUUUCUCUUUUCUCUCAGACCCGUUCCUCUCAAAAAUGAAAAGAGGGGUCCGUCUCUCUCUCAAUUUCCUCUCAGACCCCAUCCAUGGUGGAGCGACACAGGCAUGUCUGAUUCCUCUAUAAUAGUGCUCUGGUUCGCAACAAUGAUACCCAAACGGGCAUAUCUAAAAUAGUUCGUCCAAAAAUCCUCCCUCUGCAGUUUCCUCGCAGAUUGAUGCAUCCGUAGCCUUCCAUAACCCAACAACAACACAACUUCGUGAGUACCCCGCCGUGGUGGAAAAUCGGAAAAACGGAAACCCAAAGGUAAAAUCAUCCUCCAAUCUUGUGGUUUCAUUGUCCAAUUUAUUUGUUUGAAAGAACGGGAACAAACCCUAACACAUGCAUGUGGUUUUAUCGGUGUGAGGACCCCUAAUGGUUUCAAAUCCGAGACAACAACACAAGAACACACCCUGAGUCGCCAGCUCAGCUCAACCAAGGAUCUGCAAAUGUUGAGCGUAUAACCGAGAGAAAACAAGCUUAAGCUGCCGGUCUAAUGGUCCCAGAACGCAAAAUAAACGGCAAAUGUCUCGGCCGCUGCAAAUCAUGAAGGGGUAUAUGGAUCCAUGAUAGAGCCAAGGAAAUAGAAGUAAACACACAAGCUCAACCGAUGAAAACAACACAGGCCGCAUGACCCAAAUCGGUGCAUCUGGGAGGUCCCAGAAUUUAAAGAUUAUAGAAAAAUUCCCUGCAAAGGAGGAACUCUCUGCAAAGUUCGCUCCCUGCGUUUCCUCCUUAAAUUCUGCUCAAGUUCUGGAUCAAAUGGAAUCAAUUUCUGAACUGUUGAACGGGUGCUGACCAUGCAUAGAUUUAUGAAAUAUGCACUGUUGUACUAUUGUAAUCUGUAAAAAUAAAAUAAAAACGAAAAUUAAAUUAAUUUUUUUUAUAUGUAUAAACAGCAAUAACUAAUUGA